GAUGAACGCUGGCGGCGUGCCUAACACAUGCAAGUCGAACGGACAUUUUUUGGAAAGCUCUUCGGAACUGGAAUCUAAAUGUUAGUGGCGGACGGGUGAGUAACGCGUGAGCAAUCUGCCUUUCAGAGGGGGAUAACAGCCGGAAACGGCUGCUAAUACCGCAUAAUGCAUCGGAUUCGCAUGUUUCUGAUGCCAAAGAUUUUAUCGCUGAAAGAUGAGCUCGCGUCUGAUUAGCUAGUUGGCGGGGUAACGGCCCACCAAGGCGACGAUCAGUAGCCGGCCUGAGAGGGUGACGGCCACAUUGGGACUGAGACACGGCCCAA
Molecule: ribosomal RNA, 323 nt
Filed under: uncultured bacterium
Lineage: Bacteria
Description: bacterial SSU rRNA
Rfam family: Bacterial small subunit ribosomal RNA
Source: RNAcentral